AUUGAACGCUGGCGGCAGGCCUAACACAUGCAAGUCGAGCGGAUGAAGGGAGCUUGCUCCUGGAUUCAGCGGCGGACGGGUGAGUAAUGCCUAGGAAUCUGCCUUGUAGUGGGGGAUAACGUCCGGAAACGGGCGCUAAUACCGCAUACGUCCUGAGGGAGAAAGUGGGGGAUCUUCGGACCUCACGCUAUCAGAUGAGCCUAGGUCGGAUUAGCUAGUUGGGGGGGUAAAGGCCUACCAAGGCGACGAUCCGUAACUGGUCUGAGAGGAUGAUCAGUCACACUGGAACGGAGACACGGUCCAGACUCCUACGGGAGGAAGAAGUGGGGAAUUUGGGAAAAUGGGCGAAAGCCUGAUACAGCCAUGCCGCGUGUGUGAAGAAGGUCUUCGGAUUGUAAAGCACUUUAAGUUGGGAGGAAGGGCAGUAAGUUAAUACCUGGCUGUUUUGACGUUACCAACAGAAUACGCACCGGAUAACUUCG
Molecule: ribosomal RNA, 482 nt
Filed under: uncultured bacterium
Lineage: Bacteria
Description: partial 16S ribosomal RNA
Rfam family: Bacterial small subunit ribosomal RNA
Source: RNAcentral